Molecule: ribosomal RNA, 506 nt
Filed under: uncultured bacterium
Lineage: Bacteria
Description: partial 16S ribosomal RNA
Rfam family: Bacterial small subunit ribosomal RNA
Source: RNAcentral
AGUGAACGCUGGCGGUAGGCCUAACACAUGCAAGUCGAACGGCAGCACAGGAGAGCUUGCUCUCUGGGUGGCGAGUGGCGGACGGGUGAGGAAUACAUCGGAAUCUACUCUGUCGUGGGGGAUAACGUAGGGAAACUUACGCUAAUACCGCAUACGACCUACGGGUGAAAGCAGGGGACCUACGGGCCUUGCGCGAUUGCAGGAUCCGAUGGCGGAUUAGCUAGUUGGCGGGGUAAAGGCCCACCAAGGCGACGAUCCGUAGCUGGGCUGAGAGGAUGAUCAGCCACACUGGAACUGAGACACGGUCCAGACUCCUACGGGAGGCAGCAGUGGGGAAUAUUGGACAAUGGGCGCAAGCCUGAUCCAGCCAUACCGCGUGGGUGAAGAAGGCCUUCGGGUUGUAAAGCCCUUUUGUUGGGAAAGAAAUCCAGCUGGCUAAUACCCGGUUGGGAUGACGGUACCCAAAGAAUAAGCACCGGCUAACUUCGUGCCAGCCGCCGCCGUAA